GCAUUGUAGACAGACACUUUACCGUCUGAGCUACCAGGGAAGUCCAUAACAUGACACCAGGACCCCCUAGAUUCCACCACCCUCCACUCUACUCAGCCAUCCAGGCAUACAGCCAGAGGUAUUCCUUUUUUCUUCCUUUUAGGGUGCCUCCCUAGCAUGCCCACACCUCCCCAGAUAUCAGGUGAUCAAUUUCCCUUUCAGUUCUUCAGUUUGGACCCAGCCAUUCUGGGCGGCUCGCCUAGGGAAUGUUCCUGGAACAAGCACAAGGAGGUGGAGCGGAGAGACGUGCAGAGCUCUCACUCUCACUACCCCGUGCACCCCCAGUUUCCCAUUUCCAGGGGGGUAGGGGCUCCAGGCCACAUCCUGGAGUGAUCUCCCUCCCCUGUAGCUCGUCUCUCCGUGUAUGCCACCAGGGCUGGAGUCCUGGGUGUGUGGAACACUACUAGUCUAGACGGCUACAGAUCAGAAUUCAAGAGAACUGUAUUUUCUGCUAUCGGGGAAAGGGAAGCGCUGCCAGCGUGGCCGGAGGGCAAAAGAGUGGUGCAAGGGAGGCUAGGAUGGGAGGGUGGGCCAGGGAGCAGGAAGACGGAAGGCCUGCGUUCCGGAAAGAGGAUAGGGUAGAGGGGCGGAGAGCCAAGAGCCCCGGAGCCGGGAAGCCAAAGCCUGGGUCCCAGAGAACAAAACUCGAGCCCACCUGGCUUCCCCCACCUCAUCCCCGCCUCCAGGUGGGCAGGACGACAAACCGAGGCAGGACGUCUAUUCCUCGCACCCUGAACGAUCCCCUCCCACACACUGCCCUCCCCGCCUGCCGCCGCUCCACUCCGGGAUGCACGUGGACGGAGGGUCUCGGAGACAGGCGACCCCUGCCGCCUCCGUCCGCCAGCAGGCCCCAGACCCCCGUUCCUCGCGCGAGUUCCCUGCGGCAGUGAUUCGGACCCUGAGAUAGCGACCCGUGAGCUCCCCCUGGCUCCGGACGGUCCCGCCGCCCCCUAGUCACCUCCCUCUGGCCCUACAAAUGCGCCCACUCCCCGCCGCUUCUGCCGAAAGCGAUUUCCAGCUGCUCUUCCUUCCGAGGCCGGCUCGCCCACCCGCCCAGAUGCAGUGGAAAAAGCAAGAGAGCUGGAAGUGGAGCCUGAAGAUCUGACUGAAUUGCUAUAAUCUCGAGAUAAAACUAAUGCAUGAAGAGUCUUUUAUUCCAGAUUCCACAAACAAGGAAACAAAGACUAACAGUGUUAGUCUUUCUCUGACUUACUUUACUUAGCAGAAUACCCUCAACUUCCUGCAGUCCGUGUUGUCACAGACAGCAAGAUGUCCUUUAUUGUGUAAAGUCCAUACAUUUUUUUAGACAUAAUGUUACUGCACACCUAAUAGGCUUCAGCACAGUAUAAAUAUAACUUUUACAUGCACUGGGA
Long non-coding RNA from Capra hircus (goat), 1412 nucleotides. RefSeq lists it as uncharacterized. Lineage: Eukaryota; Metazoa; Chordata; Mammalia; Artiodactyla; Bovidae. The record is from RefSeq and is a predicted model, not a curated record. The transcript has 3 exons.